GAGGAGCGAGCCCUUAUUUUAUAAAAGGGACUCCCUCACCACCAUUAGAGAGCAUCGCCACCUACUGAGCAACCACCUCGCCACGAGCAUCAACUCUAGCCCAUCAUUUAUGUAUUGAGAAAUGAGCCCUUAUUCUAUAAAAGGGACUCCCUCACCAUCAUUAGAGAGCAUUAACUCUAGCCCAUCAUUCAUGUAUUGAGGAGCGAGCCCUUAUUCUAUAAAAGGGACUCCCUCACCUUCAAACGUCGCAAGCCGAGUAGCCGAACAGCGUGUGCUACUUCUAGUUGAGCAUCAUUUCAGAUUGAGCACUGCCUCAUAUCGAGCAUCAGUUCAAAACAGCAUCUAGUUACUUCGGCCCACACAUGGACUGAAUUUCAAGUCUCCAACCAAAAGACUCUCUUGACUGAAGACUUGGGGGACUACUGUUUAUACCAUAUUUAGGGCCUCGUAUUUAGACCUCGUAUAAAUACUCGGAGGACUUAAAUGUAAUUAUGUAAUAAAGGAAGGGGCAAAUAUGUAAUAAGUGAGGAGUUCUUUUUCU
This 541-nucleotide long non-coding RNA is filed under the name Malus domestica (apple). RNAcentral's name for it is "long non-coding RNA (MDOM_LNC019417)". Lineage: Eukaryota; Viridiplantae; Streptophyta; Magnoliopsida; Rosales; Rosaceae. The record is from RNAcentral.